RNAcentral lists this transfer RNA (69 nucleotides) under Muntiacus sp. LSI2. RNAcentral describes it as "tRNA-Tyr". It matches the Rfam family "tRNA". Rfam says of the family: Transfer RNA (tRNA) molecules are approximately 80 nucleotides in length. Their secondary structure includes four short double-helical elements and three loops (D, anti-codon, and T loops). Lineage: Eukaryota; Metazoa; Chordata; Mammalia; Artiodactyla; Cervidae. The record is from RNAcentral.
GGUAAGAUGGCUGAGUGAAGCAUUAGACUGUAAAUCUAANGAUAGAGGUUNAUAAUCCUCNUUUUACCA